Molecule: ribosomal RNA, 462 nt
Filed under: uncultured bacterium
Lineage: Bacteria
Description: partial 16S ribosomal RNA
Rfam family: Bacterial small subunit ribosomal RNA
Source: RNAcentral
GACGAACGCUGGCGGCGUGCUUAACACAUGCAAGUCGAACGGUGAAGCCCUUCGGGGUGGAUCAGUGGCGAACGGGUGAGUAACACGUGAGCAACCUGCCCCUGGCUCUGGGACAACCACUGGAAACGGUGGCUAAUACCGGAUACGACCCGCCUCGGCAUCGAGUGUGGGUGGAAAGUUUUUCGGCUGGGGAUGGGCUCGCGGCCUAUCAGCUUGUUGGUGAGGUGAAGGCUCACCAAGGCGACGACGGGUAGCCGGCCUGAGAGGGCGACCGGCCACACUGGGACUGAGACACGGCCCAGACUCCUACGGGAGGCAGAAGUGGGGAAUAUUGCACAAUGGGCGAAAGCCUGAUGCAGCGACGCCGCGUGAGGGAUGACGGCCUUCGGGUUGUAAACCUCUUUCAGCUCCGAAGAAGCGAAAGUGACGGUAGGAGCAGAAGAAGCACCGGCUAACUACGUG